Molecule: ribosomal RNA, 466 nt
Filed under: uncultured bacterium
Lineage: Bacteria
Description: partial 16S ribosomal RNA
Rfam family: Bacterial small subunit ribosomal RNA
Source: RNAcentral
GAUGAACGCUGGCGGCGUGCUUAACACAUGCAAGUCGAACGGAAAGGCCCAAGCUUGCUUGGGUGCUCGAGUGGCGAACGGGUGAGUAACACGUGGGUGAUCUGCCCUGCACUUUGGGAUAAGCCUGGGAAACUGGGUCUAAUACCGGAUAGGACCAUCGUUUAGUGUCGGUGGUGGAAAGUUUUUCGGUGUGGGAUGAGCUCGCGGCCUAUCAGCUUGUUGGUGGGGUAAUGGCCUACCAAGGCGUCGACGGGUAGCCGGCCUGAGAGGGUGUACGGCCACAUUGGGACUGAGAUACGGCCCAGACUCCUACGGGAGGCAGCAGUGGGGAAGAUUGCACAAUGGGCGCAAGCCUGAUGCAGCGACGCCGCGGGGGGGAUGACGGCCUUCGGGUUGUAAACGCCUUUCGCCAAGGACGAAGCGUUUUGUGACGGUACUUGGAGAAGAAGCACCGGCUAACUACGUG